UGCAUAGAGUGGAGACGCUAUUAGGUGGAUGACUUGGCUUAAGAUUAUGAUGAAGGGUGUGACAAGCUACAUAAUGCCUCAGCUAGACGCAAGUAGUCUUUGAACUGGGGAUUCCCGAAUGCGACUUCAGCAUUAAAUCCGUAAGGAUGAGCAACGCGGGGAAUUGAAACAUCUUAGUACCCGCAGGAAAAGAAAUCAAUUGAGAUGUUGCGAGUAAGGGCGACUGAAAGCAUCAUAAGGCAAACUGAAUUCUUAUCAGAAAUGAUAAGAAGAUGUGGUGUUAUAGACUGUUUUUAUCCUCCCUUGGGAACUCAAAGUCUCCUGAAAAGGAGCACCUUAGAGUGUGAAAGUCACGUAGAGGCAACUGAGAAGGAUUUUAGCAGUAUCUUGAGUACUGUCUAUUGGAUAUUAGGCAGGAAUAUGGGAGACAUCGAUUUCCAACCUUAAAUAGAUCUUAAGUCCGAUAGCUUACCAGUACAGUGAUGGAAUGUUGAAAAGAACCCAUGACAGGAAGUUAAAAGAACCUGAAACCUAAUAGUUAUGGAUCGAUAGUGCGUUAAGUUCUAUCGUACGUUUUGAAUAACGUGCCAGGAAGUAUAUUUAAGUGGCGAGGCUAAAUAAAAUGGAGCCGCAGCGAAAGCGAUUGCCCGUAGCUUGUGAUGGGCAGGAUAUGAAAGUGUCCCAAGUCACUUGAAUAUGACCCGAAGCCAGGCGAUCUAACCUGAGGUAAGAUGAAGCAAGGGUAAAACCUUGUGGAGGUCUGAAGAAUUGCUACGAGCAAGUGCUAUUCUAACCUCUGGCUAGGGGUAAAAAGCCAAUCGAGCUUGGCGAUAGCUGGUUCCUACCGAAGUUGGCCGCAGUCAAAUUCUAAUUGAGGGUGCUGGAGUUCUAGAGCUACGGAUCUGGGAUUUAGGACUCGAAAGGGUUCGGUUCUUUGUCCAACUCCAAAUAUUCCAGCCUCAAAGAGAUUAGAGGACGGGUAGUCGGCAUAAAGUUGGCUACCGAGAGGGGAACAACCCAGACUAUAGUUAAGGUCCCAAAAUGCUGACUAAGUAUUAAAGGGUGAAGGGUGUCAAUAACCAGAGACAGCGAGGAGGUUGGCUCAGAAGCAGCCAUCCUUUAAAAAGUGCGUAACAGCUUACUUGUCAAGGUUAUUGGCCCCUAAAAUGGACGGGGUUAAGUCAGUUACCGAUACUAUAGGUCACUUUUGUGAAUGGUAGGUAGGUAUCCUAUGAGGGUAGAAGUGCUUUCGUGAGGAAGCAUGGACCUUGUAGGAAAAAGAAUCCUGGUGGUAGUAGGAUCUUAGCAGUUUGAGAAUAGCUGUCACCGAAAGGGCCAUGGUUCCUUGACAAUGUAGAUCAGUCAAGGGUUAGUUAGUCCUAACCUAGUUCGUAAAUCGAAUGAAGGGAAAGGGAAAAAGGUUAAUAUUCCUUUACUACUUAAGUAUUCGUGGCGACACAAAUCCUAUUCCCGACACUUCGGAAUAAACCAACACAGCCUUCUGUGUUAACUGCAAUAAAUCAGGGGAGUAUCAUAAUGAUGAGAACCUGAUUAAAUGCAGGAAUAGUGUCUCGUAUGAGGCAUUUGGUUGAUUUCUGGAGUUCUUAAAAAAGGAAUAGGACAAAUCUUAAGUAACUCUACAUAGAACCAGCACUGGUGCCCCUGGGUGAGAAGCCCAAGGUGUGAAGAGGUAAACUAGCUAAGGGAAUUCGACACAUUAGCCCCGUACCUUAGGUAUAAGGGGUCCCUGCGGUUGUUAGCUUAUGUUAGCAAUUACAGGGUGCAAUUACAAAGAGGGUCCGACUGUUUAACAAAAACUUAGCCUUCUGCCAGCCUGCAAAGGUGUGUAUAGAAGGUGACGUCUGCCCAGUGCCUGCACUUUAAACUCCUUUCCAAGGGAGCUAAGAACAGGUAAACGGCGGGGGUAACUAUAACUCUCUUAAGGUAGCGAAAUGCCUUGCCGUUUAAUUGACGGCCAGCAUGAAUGGCGUAACGAGAUCCUCGUUGUCCCUAACUAGAACUCUCCGAACUCUCCAUUCUGGUGCGAAGGCCAGAGAUCUCCAGUGGGACGUGAAGACCCCGUGAAACUUUACUGUAGGUUGUUGUUGCAAUGUGAGUUUUGUUGCAUAGUGUAGGUGGGAGUCGAUAAAGCUUGAUUUUCGGAUUAAGUGUAGACGCCAAUGUAACACCACUUUUCAAAAUUUACGUUGCUAACUUCGCAAGAAGGACCGCAAUAGCUAGACAGUUUGGCUGGGGUGGCACACUGUUGAAAAGAUACGAAAAAGAGGCUUUUUGUAUAAAGGUCUCGUUCGACUUUAUAUCAACAGUGCCCAACGGUUGGCUCAACUCAGUCAGAAAUUGAGUGUAGAAUGCAAGGGUAAAAGCCAGCCUGACUGGAUUCAUAACAAAAUUGUAUCCAGGAUAGAAAUAUUGGCCUAGCGAACCUCUAUGUCCUCCUCGAUGGGGGCUAGAGAUGACUGAAAAGUUACUCCGGGGAUAACAGAGUGGUCGCGCCUGAGAGCUCAUAUUGGGCAUUUAAGGUUGCGAACGGAACUUCAAGAUAAGUGGUUUUCACAAUCCUGGAAGUACCUAGCAAUAGCCUUAAAGCUCAAGAGUUUAUCGACGGCGCGUCUUGCUACAUCGAUGUCGGCUCUUCCUAUCCUGGCUGUGCAGAAGCAGCCAAGGGUGUGGGUGUUCACCAAUUAAAAGGGAUCGUGAGCUGGGUUCAGAACGCUGUGAGGCAGUUUGUUUAAUAUCUACUGGAGAUGUUGAUAUCUGAAAGGAAGGAUCCUCUAGUACGAGAGGAACGAGGAUCCGAAGCCUCUGGUGGACCUGUUAUCUAACAAGGUAAGCAGGGCAGCUACGCUUUAUAUGGAUAAGUGCUGAAAGCAUCUAAGCACGAAGCCAUCCUUGAAAAGAGAUAUCUUAGGACUCCCAUAAAACAUGGGUUUAAUGGAAUUGAUGUGUAAGUGCCAAGCUUCGGCGAGGUAUUCAGCAUGCAAUCUCCAACCGUUCAUAACUCUAUGCA
RNAcentral lists this ribosomal RNA (3028 nucleotides) under Candidatus Woesearchaeota archaeon. RNAcentral describes it as "23S ribosomal RNA". It matches the Rfam family "Archaeal large subunit ribosomal RNA". The record is from RNAcentral. Lineage: Archaea; Nanobdellati; Candidatus Woesearchaeota.